UUAACUAUGCUUUCAAGGGAUCGUUUUAUAGUUCGUUGUUAGAGAAGUAUGUGUGAACGUGUAGAACAGAUUAAACCACGAGAAAGAAUAGUGUUUUUUUCUGAAUGUGAAGCCGGCGUUUGGUGUUGCUUCAGUGCAACCGUCAUCCGCCAUUGAUGGUCGUUUUUCCAUUUUGGAGACUGGGCGGAAAGAACACGGUCUGAGUGGU
This is a small nucleolar RNA of Rhinopithecus roxellana (golden snub-nosed monkey), 208 nucleotides long. RefSeq annotates it as small nucleolar RNA U3. The record is from RefSeq and is a predicted model, not a curated record. Lineage: Eukaryota; Metazoa; Chordata; Mammalia; Primates; Cercopithecidae. The transcript has a single exon.